GACGAACGCUGGCGGCGUGCUUAAUACAUGCAAGUCGAACGGAAAUUCCCUGCUCUUGUCUUGUUCCCGAGUGGCGAACGGGGUAGUAACACGGUGGUAACCUCGCCUGUACUUUGGGAUAACUUCAGGGAUCACGCGCGAAUACAGGUUAUGAUCUCCUGUAGCAUCGUUUGGGGUGGAAAGGUUCGGCGGUUGGGGCUGGUCUCGCGGCUUAUGAGCUUGUUGGUGGGGUAGUGGCUUACGAAGGCUUUGACGGGUAGCCGGACUGAGAGGGUGACCCGCCACAUUGGGCCUGAGGUACGGCCCAGACUGCUACGGGAGGCAGCAGUGGGAAAUAUUGCAGACUGGGCGGAAGCAUGAUGCAGCAACGUCGCAUGCGGGAUGACGGCUUUCGGGUUGUAAACAGCAUUCGCCUGUGACGAAGAGUGCGUGACGGUAAUGGGUAAAGAAGCAACGGCUAACUACGUG
This 468-nucleotide ribosomal RNA is filed under the name uncultured bacterium. RNAcentral describes it as "partial 16S ribosomal RNA". It matches the Rfam family "Bacterial small subunit ribosomal RNA", at positions 28 to 507 of the family's 1533-position model. The record is from RNAcentral.